This 275-nucleotide long non-coding RNA is filed under the name Elaeis guineensis (African oil palm). RNAcentral's name for it is "long non-coding RNA (EGUI_LNC024465)". The record is from RNAcentral. Lineage: Eukaryota; Viridiplantae; Streptophyta; Magnoliopsida; Arecales; Arecaceae.
ACAUAAGCUAGACACCUCUAAAUUCGAAGGUGUGAGAGCACCAACCUAUGCCCAAUCUAUAUCUCAUAUGGAGUUUUAUCAACAAAUUUGCUCGAAAUCUUAUUUAGAAUAUAGCCUACAGUUUCAAGAGCGUAUCUCCAAAAGAAGAUUGACAGAUUUACAAAUUCAUUAUGGACCAAACCAUGCCUAACAGGGUUCGAUUCCUUCUUUCAGACAUCCCAUUAUGUUGUGGUGUUUCAGGAGGGAUCCACUAAGAAAGAAUCCCUUUCGCCUCU